Molecule: long non-coding RNA, 965 nt
Filed under: Manacus vitellinus (golden-collared manakin)
Lineage: Eukaryota; Metazoa; Chordata; Aves; Passeriformes; Pipridae
Description: lncRNA (ENSMVIG00005000705.1)
Source: RNAcentral
GAGCAGCGAGGGAGGGCAGGGAGGAGGCUCUGAGGACUCAGAGCCCGGCCAACCUGGGCUUUGGACGCUCCCGGUCGUGGGGCAUCCACAGCUUCUCUGCGCCAGCACCUCACCACCCCUCGCAGUGAAGAGGGUGUUUAGAGGAUGUUUAGUGUGUGGAGAAGAAAAGACUGAGAGCGGAUCUCAUUAAUGCGUUAUCCUUGCUUGGACAAUGUCAGUAGAUGUUUGUGCUCAUUUUGCAGUGGUCGACAAUGAUGCAGUUUGAGGACGAUAUCACUUGCAAGGCAGCCACAUCACUUCUGAGCAUCUUCUUUAUUAUGUGUGUUAGUGACUUGAAGAAAAGAUUAUGGUAGCUCAUAAUCCUCUCAUUGCUACUAUAAGUUGUUGGAUAACUUCCGAUGUCAUCUUUAGAGGCUUUGUGCCUCCAUAACUCAAGAAAUCAAAGACAAACAUACCAAAUCACAACACAUACUUACUUCCUAUUUGCAUGGCAAUAAGGUGGGCCAUGUUCUGAACUCAGUGGUACUAUAUUCAUCUAUCUAAUUAAACAUUGUUAAUAAGCAUAGCUGUCUGGUAAGGGACUUCAUGCUGUUAGCCCUGUGUUGCAUAAGAAACAUGAAAUAGCCAAAUGCUAUAUGACAUUCAUUGAUUUGGUUGUUAUCACUCAUUUAUAGUUCUUCUCAGUAAAAUGACUUUCACAGCUAUAAAAUUUAGGUCUGUGCACUUGGUUCAUUGAGAAUAUAAAUAGAAAGUUAAACACAGAAGAAGCUGAAGAAAAAAUUAUCAGGGAGGAAGACGAUUCUGGGUGGAUUAUCUUUAUUUAUGUUAAGACACUUAAAGACAGGAUUAAAACAGGCAGUCAAAGAAUGUGCACGGCUGCCAAACAAGUAAAAUGGAAUAUCAGAUCCAUCUGGCAUUCCCCAUUCUGGGAAAUAAAUAGGAAGACCUAUUAAUUACUCUAUUCA